AGAGUGAACGCUGGCGGUAGGCCUAACACAUGCAAGUCGAACGGCAGCACAGGAGAGCUUGCUCUCUGGGUGGCGAGUGGCGGACGGGUGAGGAAUACAUCGGAAUCUACCUUUUCGUGGGGGAUAACGUAGGGAAACUUACGCUAAUACCGCAUAAGACCUUCGGGUGAAAGCCGGGGACCUUCGGGCCUGGCGCGGAUAGAUGAGCCGAUGUCGGAUUAGCUUGUUGGCGGGGUAAAAGCCCACCAAGGCGACGAUCCGUAGCUGGUCUGAGAGGAUGAUCAGCCACACUGGAACUGAGACACGGUCCAGACUCCGUACGGGAGCAGCAGUGGGAAUAUUGGACAAGUGGGC
RNAcentral lists this ribosomal RNA (354 nucleotides) under uncultured soil bacterium. RNAcentral describes it as "bacterial SSU rRNA". It matches the Rfam family "Bacterial small subunit ribosomal RNA", at positions 26 to 377 of the family's 1533-position model. The record is from RNAcentral.